Molecule: ribosomal RNA, 200 nt
Filed under: uncultured bacterium
Lineage: Bacteria
Description: partial 16S ribosomal RNA
Rfam family: Bacterial small subunit ribosomal RNA
Source: RNAcentral
GAUGAACGCUAGCGGCAGGCUUAACACAUGCAAGUCGAGGGGUAUGGUUCUUCGGAACCAGAGACCGGCGCACGGGUGCGUAACGCGUAUGCAAUCUACCUUUCACAGAGGGAUAGCCCAGAGAAAUUUGGAUUAAUACCUCAUAGUAUUAUAGAAUGGCAUCAUUUUAUAAUUAAAGUCACAACGGUGAAAGAUGAGCA